AUACUUACCAGGCAGGGGAGAUACCAUGAUCAUGUAGGUGGUUCACCCAGGGCGAGGCUCAGCCAUUGCUCUGAGGCUGACUGAUCUCUGCCAAUGGGGGCUGUGGUCUUGGCAGUAGUGCAAUUUGCGUUAGAAGGUGUUGGCUGAGAGUCUACAAACACUUA
RNAcentral lists this small nuclear RNA (164 nucleotides) under Betta splendens (Siamese fighting fish). Its description in RNAcentral is "U1 spliceosomal RNA (ENSBSLG00000000498.1)". It matches the Rfam family "U1 spliceosomal RNA". Rfam says of the family: U1 is a small nuclear RNA (snRNA) component of the spliceosome (involved in pre-mRNA splicing). Its 5' end forms complementary base pairs with the 5' splice junction, thus defining the 5' donor site of an intron. There are significant differences in sequence and secondary structure between metazoan and yeast U1 snRNAs, the latter being much longer (568 nucleotides as compared to 164 nucleotides in human). Lineage: Eukaryota; Metazoa; Chordata; Actinopteri; Anabantiformes; Osphronemidae. The record is from RNAcentral.